RNAcentral lists this ribosomal RNA (591 nucleotides) under Asparagopsis taxiformis. Its description in RNAcentral is "eukaryotic LSU rRNA". It matches the Rfam family "Eukaryotic large subunit ribosomal RNA", at positions 147 to 776 of the family's 3401-position model. Lineage: Eukaryota; Rhodophyta; Florideophyceae; Bonnemaisoniales; Bonnemaisoniaceae. The record is from RNAcentral.
UUGUAAUGUGAGCAGCCUGGGUGCGUCAGUGCAGGUAAGUGACAUGAAAAUGUUCGCCGUGGAGGGUGAGAGCCCCGUCCAGCCUGCACAGGGCGUGCCGUACAGGGCUGUCUCGAAUGAGUCGGGUAGCUUGGGAAUGCUGCUCUAAGAUCGGUGGUAAAUUUCAUCGAAGGCUAAAUACUGCUGGAAGACCGAUAGUGAACAAGUACCGUGAGGGAAAGAUGAAAAGCACUUUGAAAAGAGGGUGAAAAGAAUCUGAAACCGUUGUGAGGGAAGCGGAUUGCGUUGCAGUAACUGUGGGCGCCGGUGUGUUCAGCCUGUUUCGGCGGGUGUAGUGGCACCGGUGGCUCCGUCUGCUGUGAGUUUGUGGUGGCUGAUUGCAAGGCUGCUGCGGACUGAGGGCUCCGUGCUGCUUUGCGGCGGCACGUGAGGACGGCAGGGUGACGACGCGAUACGACCCGUCUUGAAACACGGACCAAGGAGUCUAGCACAGCUGCGAGUCUGAGGGUGUCAAAGCCUGUGGGCGAAGUGAAAGCGAAAGAUGGCGGUAAUUCCAUAAUUUCAGAAUGACAAAGUUGUUGCAAUUUGGGG